CUUGGUCAUUUAGAGGAAGUAAAAGUCGUAACAAGGUUUCCGUAGGUGAACCUGCGGAAGGAUCAUUAUUGAUUGUGAAUCGUUACCUUCUGUGCUGGCUCCGGCAAGUGCACGUUGGUGACUUUCAUCCAUUCCCAACACCCUUGUGAACCWUUGGCCUCUUGCUAGCCCCGGCUGGCAGAGGAUUUYUAUACACAGACUCGAAUGUAAUGAAAAACCUUUUGUUGUGCGCAAGCACGAAUGUACAACUUUCAACAACGGAUCUCUUGGCUCUCGCAUCGAUGAAGAACGCAGCGAAAUGCGAUAAGUAAUGUGAAUUGCAGAAUUCAGUGAAUCAUCGAAUCUUUGAACGCACCUUGCACCCUUUGGURUUCCGAAGGGUAUGCUCGUUUGAGUGUCAUUGUACUCUCACACUUCUGAUUCCUUUUGGGAUUUGGGAGCGGUGGACUUGGGUGUUGCUGCUUUAGUUGUGGCUCACCUCAAAUAAGUUAGUGCAACUCUUGGUUGGACAUAGUACGGCGUGAUAAGUGUCUUCGCCGGCGCCUCCUUGCAAGGAGGGUGGCCGAUCGGGAGCUCUGUGCUUCAAACCGUCUUCGGACAAUGUUUGACAACUUGACCUCAAAUCGAGUAGGACUACCCGCUGAACUUAAGCAUAUCAAUAAGCGGAGGA
RNAcentral lists this ribosomal RNA (670 nucleotides) under uncultured fungus. Its description in RNAcentral is "eukaryotic LSU rRNA". The stretch from base 247 to 400 matches the Rfam family "5.8S ribosomal RNA". The record is from RNAcentral. Lineage: Eukaryota; Fungi.